UGGGGAAUUUUGGACAAUGGGCGAAAGCCUGAUCCAGCAAUGCCGCGUGAGUGAAGAAGGCCUUCGGGUUGUAAAGCUCUUUUGUCAGGGAAGAAACGGUGAGAGCUAAUAUCUCUUGCUAAUGACGGUACCUGAAGAAUAAGCACCGGCUAACUACGUGCCAGCAGCCGCGGUAAUACGUAGGGUGCAAGCGUUAAUCGGAAUUACUGGGCGUAAAGCGUGCGCAGGCGGUUUUGUAAGUCUGAUGUGAAAUCCCCGGGCUCAACCUGGGAAUUGCAUUGGAGACUGCAAGGCUAGAAUCUGGCAGAGGGGGGUAGAAUUCCACGUGUAGCAGUGAAAUGCGUAGAUAUGUGGAGGAACACCGAUGGCGAAGGCAGCCCCCUGGGUCAAGAUUGACGCUCAUGCACGAAAGCGUGGGGAGCAAACAGGAUUAGAUACCCCAGUAGUCCCUGAGCGGGCUGGCAAGGCGCAU
Molecule: ribosomal RNA, 472 nt
Filed under: uncultured bacterium
Lineage: Bacteria
Description: bacterial SSU rRNA
Rfam family: Bacterial small subunit ribosomal RNA
Source: RNAcentral